GACGACGCUGGCGGCGUUGGAUUAGGCAUGCAAGUCGAACGGUAUCAUCCUUUCGGGGGUGAGAGAGUGGCGAACUGGUAGAGUAACACGUAGGUUAUCUACCCUCAAGACGGGGACAACCCAGGGAAACUUGGGCUAAUACCGGAUGUGAGCAACUUUUAGUUGUUUGAAAGGUGGCGUAAGCUGUCGCUUGGGGAUGAGCCUGCGUCCUAUUAGUUAGUUGGUGAGGUAACGGCUCACCUAGGCAAUGAUAGGUAGGCGGCCUUAACGGGUGGUCGCCCACACUGGGAUUGAGAUACGGCCCAGACUCCUACGGGAGGCAGCAGUCGAGAAUAGUCUACAAUGGUCGGAAGACUGAUAGUGCGACGCCGCGUGAACGAUGAAUCCCUUCGGGGUGUAAAGUUCUUUUAUAUGUGAGCAGUGCUUCUUAUAUUAACAGUAUGGGGAGAGAGAUAUUAGCAUAUGAAUAAGCAACGGCUAACUCCGUG
Molecule: ribosomal RNA, 488 nt
Filed under: uncultured bacterium
Lineage: Bacteria
Description: bacterial SSU rRNA
Rfam family: Bacterial small subunit ribosomal RNA
Source: RNAcentral